CAAAAUUUCCUUAUUGAGGCCAAGUUGUUCUGACCCUUGAUAUCAUUUAGGCGCUGACAAAUUAGACUGUUUGGCUUUGCUAAAACCCAAAGUGAGUAGCUGUUGUAGUUGUUAUGUACUGAAGUUCUCACCCUGGGCCAGCAGGGGGAUACUGUAGAUAGUUAUGCAAAUAAGGGAUCGAAAGUGACGUUCAGUGAUUGGAUAGUUUUAGAAAGUUGUUACAGUUACGUUGUACUGGAGCUCUAUAUAAGCAGGCUGACUGAACCCUUCAGUUCAGUUCUGUCCUGGCCUGUGAAUAAACAAGAGCUGUUUGAAGAAUUGCUGUGUUGUCUGAUAUGUUCACCCACAACUUAACAGUAGUGAUAAACCACAAGUGAAGUUUUUGAUAGACAAUUUUAGUCCAGGAGCUCUAUUUAGAUUAAUAGCAGGCUGUGUCCUGAAGUUAAACAGUGAUGUGCCUCAUAACAUUUGCAAGGCACAGAGGUGAGUAUGGAUACACUUGAGCCAAAUUUCAGCAAGCCUUUGGCUGGUUUGAACCCAAGUCUCUGAAAUUCAAGGCCGCAACUGCUGAACAAGUUAACAGAGGACUCAAGUGAGGUGUGGUAGAACAUCUGCUUUUCAUGCAGAAGGUUCCAGAUCCAUUCUCCGACACCUCCAGGCAGGACAGGGAAUAUUCAUUGCCUGAAACCCUGAAGUCAUUGCCUGUCAGUGUAAACACUGAGCUUGGUGGACCAAUGGCUUGACUCAGUAAGGCAGCUCCCUAUAUUUCUAUGAUGGGUACUGAGAAAAAAGGAGGAGAUACAGUGGUUCCUCGGGUUAAGUACUUAAUUCAUUCUGGAGGUACCACUGUAGUUUGUGCAAACAUGUACCAACAAAAACUAAAUUGGAUGGAACCAGAAACAAGAUGGUCAAGGGUACUUGUGCAUGCAGUAGAACUAAUAUCUGCAUUGGAUAUCCUUAAAUUAAAUUUUCAACAGCCUCUCUCUCUCUCCAUAAUCAUUGAGACUCUCAGCCUCUCAG
RNAcentral lists this long non-coding RNA (1020 nucleotides) under Podarcis muralis (Common wall lizard). Its description in RNAcentral is "lncRNA (ENSPMRG00000010279.1)". The record is from RNAcentral. Lineage: Eukaryota; Metazoa; Chordata; Lepidosauria; Squamata; Lacertidae.